AUGAACGCUGGCGGCGUGCCUAAUACAUGCAAGUCGAGCGCACAGACGAGGAGCUUGCUCCUCUGACGUUAGCGGCGGACGGGUGAGUAACACGUGGAUAACCUACCUAUAAGACUGGGAUAACUUCGGGAAACCGGAGCUAAUACCGGAUAAUAUAUUGAACCGCAUGGUUCCAUAGUGAAAGACGGUUUUGCUGUCACUUAUAGAUGGAUCCGCGCCGCAUUAGCUAGUUGGUAAGGUAACGGCUUACCAAGGCAACGAUGCGUAGCCGACCUGAGAGGGUGAUCGGCCACACUGGAACUGAGACACGGUCCAGACUCCUACGGGAGGCAGCAGUAGGGAAUCUUCCGCAAUGGGCGAAAGCCUGACGGAGCAACGCCGCGUGAGUGAUGAAGGUCUUCGGAUCGUAAAACUCUGUUAUUAGGGAAGAACAAAUGUGUAAGUAACUAUGCACGUCUUGACGGUACCUAAUCAGAAAGCCACGGCUAACUACGUG
RNAcentral lists this ribosomal RNA (496 nucleotides) under uncultured bacterium. RNAcentral's name for it is "partial 16S ribosomal RNA". It matches the Rfam family "Bacterial small subunit ribosomal RNA", at positions 29 to 507 of the family's 1533-position model. The record is from RNAcentral.